UGGGAAUAACCCAGCUUCUUCGUCGUUCCAAUCAAACCAGGAUGAAUCACUUUGUAAGAAGCUUGAUUUGGAUACAUAAAGUGGUGGAGAAUCACCAGGAAAUUGAAUAAAUCUCAUAAGAGUUGGCAUGAAGAAGUUAUCCCACUUUCAAAUCAGGUGAUUCCAGUUUCCCAGUUUAGGAAUAGCACAGCUUCUUCGUCGUUCCAAACAAACCAUGAUGAAUCACUUUGUAAGAAGCUUGAUUUGGAUACAUAAAGUGGUGGAGAAUCACCAGGAAGUUGAAUAAAUCUCAUAGGAGUUGGGAUCAAGAAGUUAUCCCACUUUCAAAUAACGUGAUUCCAGUUUCCCAGUUUGGGAAUAGCACAGCUUGUUCGUCGUUCCAAUCAAACCAGGAUGAAUCACUUUGUAAGAAGCUUGAUUUGGAUACAUAAAGUGGUGGAGAAUCACCAGGAAGUUGAAUAAAUCUCAUAGGAGUUGGCAAGAAGAAGUUAUCACACUUUCAAAUCAGGUGAUUCCAGUUUCCCAGUUUGGGAAUAGCACAGCUUCUUCAUCGUUCCAAUCACACCAAGGUGAAUAACUUUGUGAAAAGCUUGAUUUGGAUACAUAAAGUGGUGGAGAAUCACCAGGAAAUUGAAUAAAUCUCAUAGGAGUUGGCAUGAAGAAGUUAUCACAUUUUCAAAUCAGGUGAUUCCAGUUUCCCAGUUUGGGAAUAGCACAGCUUCUUCGUCGUUCCAAUCAAACCAGGAUGAAUCACUUUGUAAGAAUCUUGAUUUGGAUACAUAAAGUGGUGGAGAAUCACCAGGAAUUUGAAUAAAUCUCAUAGGAGUUGGCAUGAAGAAGUUAUCCCACUUUCAAAUCAGGUGAUUCCAGUUUCCCAGUUUAGGAAUAGCACAGCUUCUUCGUCGUUCCAACAAACCAGAUGAAUCACUUUGUAAGAAGCUUGAUUUGGAUACAUAAAGUGGUGGAGAAUCACCAGGAAGUUGAAUAAAUCUCAUAGGAGUUGGGAUCAAGAAGUUAUCCCACUUUCAAAUAACGUGAUUCCAGUUUCCCAGUUUGGGAACAGCACAGCUUGUUCGUCGUUCCAAUCAAACCAGGAUGAAUCACUUUGUGAAAAGAUUGAUUUGGAUACAUAAAGUGGUGGAGAAUCACCAUGAAGUUGAAUAAAUCUCAUAGGAGUUGGCAUGAAGAAGUUAUCCCACUUUCAAAUCAGUGAUAGCAUGUGCAUUCCAGUUUCCCAGUUUGGGAACAGCACAGCUUGUUCGUCGUUCCAAUCAAACCAGGAUGAAUCACUUUGUAAGAAGCUUGAUUUGGAUACAUAAAGUUAUGGAGAAUCACCAGGAAAUUGAAUAAAUCUCAUAGGAGUUGGCAUGAAGAAGUUAUCCCACUUUCAAAUCAGGUGAUUCCAGUUUCCCAGUUUAGGAAUAGCACAGCUUCUUCGUCGUUCCAAACAAACCAGGAUGAAUCAAUUUGUAAGAAGCUUGAUUUGGAUACAUAAAGUGGUGGAGAAUCACCAGGAAGUUGAAUAAAUCUCAUAGGAGUUGGGAUGAAGAAGUUAUCCCACUUUCAAAUAACGUGAUUCCAGUUUCCCAGUUUGGGAAUA
RNAcentral lists this long non-coding RNA (1600 nucleotides) under Brassica napus (rape). RNAcentral's name for it is "long non-coding RNA (BNAP_LNC026296)". Lineage: Eukaryota; Viridiplantae; Streptophyta; Magnoliopsida; Brassicales; Brassicaceae. The record is from RNAcentral.